Molecule: long non-coding RNA, 1140 nt
Organism: Bombina bombina (fire-bellied toad)
Lineage: Eukaryota; Metazoa; Chordata; Amphibia; Anura; Bombinatoridae
Exons: 3
Source: RefSeq, a predicted model, not a curated record
CAAUGUACAAUAGCUAUUAAAUAGUUAAUAACUAUUGAAUAGCUACCUAGUUAAAAUAAUUACAAAAUUACCUGUAAAAUAAAUCCUAACCUAAGUUACAAUUAAACCUAACACUACACUAUCAAUAAAUUAAUUAAAUAAACUACCUACAAUUAUCUACAAUUAAACCUAACACUACACUAUCAAUAAAUAAAUUAAAUACAAAUACCUAUAAAUAAAUACAAAUAAAUACACUAACUAAAGUACAAAAAAUAAAAAAAUAACUAAGAAAAAAAAUAAUUUACAAACAUUAUAAAAAUAUACAACAAUUUUAAGCUAAUUACACCUACUCUAAGCCCCCUAAUAAAAUAACAAAGUCCCCCAAAAUAAAAAAGACCUCUUCAGCCCCCGCUUGGAUAAAGACUUCAGCCAGAUGAUGACCUCUUCAGCCUCCGCUUGGAUAAAGACUUCAGCCGGAUGAUGGACCUCUUCAGCCCCGGAUAGGAGGAAGACUUCAGACCCUCUUCUGGACGGAUCGGUGAUACCCGGCGUGGUGAAGACAAGAAAUGCUGUCUCCCUAAAGUCAAAAUGCACAGACCUUGUACCAGAUACCGUGCUGCAUUCCAGACAUCAAUGCUUUAAUAUAUAGGUAAAGAUGCUACAACUCGCAGGACAAUGCUCCAUGCCACUCAGCUGGGUCAAUCAAGGUGUGGAUGGAGGACCACCAGAUCAAGACCCUGCCAUAGCCAGCCCAAUCUCCAGACCUGAACCCCAUUGUAAACCUCUGGAAUGUGAUCAAGAGGAAGAUGGAUGCAUAAAGUCCCCCAUGAAUAAUGUGAAAGACUGGCGGAGAGCAUGCCAAGAUGCAUGAAAACUAUGGUUGAGAAUCUGAACUCUUGCUAAGUUAAAACAUAAGUAUUGUAUUUAAAAAUUAUUAUAAACUUGUUUUCUUUGUAAUAUUUGAGCUCUGAAAACACUGCAUAUUUUUAGUUAUUUUGACCAAUUCUCAUUUUCUGCAAAUAAAUGCUCUAAAUGACAAUAUUUUUAUUUGGAUUUUGGGAGAAAUGUUGUCAGUAUUUUAUAGAAAAAAAAACAAAACCCAAAAAUGAUCAUUUCACUCAAACACAUACCUAUAAAUAAUAAAACCAGAGUAACUGUUAA